Apodemus sylvaticus (European woodmouse) is the source of this 146-nucleotide small nucleolar RNA. RefSeq annotates it as small nucleolar RNA SNORA48. Lineage: Eukaryota; Metazoa; Chordata; Mammalia; Rodentia; Muridae. The transcript has a single exon. The record is from RefSeq and is a predicted model, not a curated record.
UCCCCCUGGCAAUGGGUAAAGAGACACCUUGUUGGCAGUGUUACUCUUAUGCCAGUCAGGGGCAGAGUCAACAGUUCUCUCCUUUGUUUAUUAUGGCUCAAUGCCUGACUUGGUGGCCCAAGCAGUUUUAUGCCUAGGACACACGA